AUGAUCGAGCAUGGGAUUUUCCCUUCUGUCAUGGAGGAGAUUGAUGAUGUGCCAUCUUCGGCCUUCAUCCACGGCGACGGUGACGAGAUGGUUGAGCAUGGGAUUUUCCCUUCGGCUACGGCGAUGUAUGAUGACUUGAGUGACUUGUGCCACCAUAUUGAGAGUGAGAGUGACUUCACCACUAGCCCCAUCUAUGAUGAGUUGCCCCAAUUCCCAUGUGAGGAGAGCCACAAUCCCCACCACUUGAGUGAGAUGAGUGGCUCCACCAUAUGUGAGUUUGAGUGCACCUAUUUUGAGGGAGUGAGUGAACCACCACAUAGAGAGAGUGAGAUAGUUCAUAGGUCUCAUGAGGCCAAUUUCAACACUAACGACUUAAACUCUACCUCUAUUGUGUCUUCUCAUUUUGUGCUAGGUCCCAUAUACGAUGAUGUGCCGAUUCGCGAUGACUUCGUCCUUCCUUUGGACAAGACGAUGGCCAUGGUGGAAUAUGAUGCACCCCCACAUGGUUCCAUCACGAUGAAGAUGACCACCAUUUGGUCUUUCCCACCUCACCUACACCACUUGAGUGGAAUGAACAAGGUAACAUAG
RNAcentral lists this ribosomal RNA (588 nucleotides) under Triticum aestivum (bread wheat). Its description in RNAcentral is "partial small subunit ribosomal RNA". The record is from RNAcentral. Lineage: Eukaryota; Viridiplantae; Streptophyta; Magnoliopsida; Poales; Poaceae.